This 451-nucleotide ribosomal RNA is filed under the name uncultured bacterium. RNAcentral's name for it is "bacterial SSU rRNA". It matches the Rfam family "Bacterial small subunit ribosomal RNA", at positions 70 to 519 of the family's 1533-position model. The record is from RNAcentral.
GACGAGGAGCUUGCUCCUCUGACGUUAGCGGCGGACGGGUGAGUAACACGUGGAUAACCUACCUAUAAGACUGGGAUAACUUCGGGCCGGAGCUAAUACCGGAUAUAUUGAACCGCAUGGUUCAAUAGUGAAAGACGGUUUUGCUGUCACUUAUAGAUGGAUCCGCGCCGCAUUAGCUAGUUGGUAAGGUAACGGCUUACCAAGGCAACGAUGCGUAGCCGACCUGAGAGGGUCGGCCACACUGGAACUGAGACACGGUCCAGACUCCUACGGGAGGCAGCAGUAGGGAAUCUUCCGCAAUGGGCGAAAGCCUGACGGAGCAACGCCGCGUGAGUGAUGAAGGUCUUCGGAUCGUAAAACUCUGUUAUUAGGGAAGAACAAAUGUGUAAGUAACUAUGCACGUCUUGACGGUACCUAAUCAGAAAGCCACGGCUAACUACGUGCAGUCGAG